UACGGAGGAUGCAGGCGUUAUCCGGAUUUAUUAGGUUUAAAGGGUGCGUAGGCGGACCUAUAAGUCAGUGGUGAAAUGCUACAGCUUAACUGUAGAACUGCCAUUGAAACUGCAGGUCUUGAAUACAAUUGAGGUGGGCGGAAUGUGUAAUGUAGCGGUGAAAUGCUUAGAUAUUACACAGAACUCCAAUUGCGAAGGCAGCUCACUAAGUUGUUAUUGACGCUGAGGCACGAAAGCGUGGGGAGCAAACAGG
This 253-nucleotide ribosomal RNA is filed under the name uncultured bacterium. RNAcentral describes it as "partial 16S ribosomal RNA". It matches the Rfam family "Bacterial small subunit ribosomal RNA", at positions 524 to 776 of the family's 1533-position model. The record is from RNAcentral.